GAUGAAGAACGUAGCGAAAUGCGAUACUUGGUGUGAAUUGCAGAAUCCCGUGAACCAUCGAGUCUUUGAACGCAAGUUGCGCCCGAAGCCAUUAGGCCGAGGGCACGCCUGCCUGGGCGUCACACGUCGUUGCCCCCCCAUCUACUCCUUCGGGAUUGCGGGGGGCGGAUGAUGGCCUCCCGUGCGCCUCGUCGCGCGGUUGGCAUAAAUGCCAAGUCCUCGGCGACGCACGCCACGACAAUCGGUGGUUGCGAAACCUCGGUUGCCCGUCGUGUGCGGUCGUCGCGCAUCGAGGGCUCGAAAAAAUUGCCGGGCUUCGGCUCGACUUUCAACGCGACCCCAGGUCAGGCGGGGUUACCCGCUGAAUUUAAGCAUAUCAAUAAGCGGAGGA
Molecule: unclassified non-coding RNA, 391 nt
Filed under: soil metagenome
Description: partial contains 5.8S ribosomal RNA, internal transcribed spacer 2, and large subunit ribosomal RNA
Rfam family: 5.8S ribosomal RNA (bases 1-122)
Source: RNAcentral